AUGACAACAAUAAAAACGCGCCAAAAAACAUAUACCAUAUUAUACUCCGAUGAACAAAACUGUUGGUUGCAUCGAGAAUUGUUUACGUUGGACGGAAAUCAAUUACAAAUAGAGGAGAAACGUCAAAUGAGUACAUGCAAUGCUCAUAGUCAAGAAAAUCCUUCAACAACAGAUGCAACACAACAAAAUCCUCCAACAACAGAGAUCAAACAACAAUAUGAUUUUGGUCAUCGUGCUCCGCGACCGCGUUAUUGUUUUACCGAUACUCGUUUCGGACCGGGUCAUCAGCAUUAA
Molecule: non-coding RNA, 294 nt
Organism: Vicia faba (fava bean)
Lineage: Eukaryota; Viridiplantae; Streptophyta; Magnoliopsida; Fabales; Fabaceae
Source: the annotation of a GenBank genome assembly